This is a long non-coding RNA of Oncorhynchus keta (chum salmon), 204 nucleotides long. RefSeq lists it as uncharacterized. The record is from RefSeq and is a predicted model, not a curated record. NCBI's taxonomy places the organism in Eukaryota, Metazoa, Chordata, Actinopteri, Salmoniformes, Salmonidae. The transcript has 3 exons.
UCAGGCUAGGUCCUAGCUGCACCACUCAGGCUAGGUCCUAGCUGCACCACUCAGGCUAGGUCCUAGCUGCAGCACUCAGGCUAGGUCCAAGAUGCACCACUCAGGCUAGGUCCAAGAUGCGCCACUCAGGCUAGGUCCUAGCUGCGCCACACAGGCUAGGUCCUAGCUGCACCACACAGGCUAGGUCCUAGCUGCACCACUCAG